RNAcentral lists this ribosomal RNA (294 nucleotides) under uncultured soil bacterium. RNAcentral describes it as "partial 16S ribosomal RNA". It matches the Rfam family "Bacterial small subunit ribosomal RNA", at positions 26 to 327 of the family's 1533-position model. The record is from RNAcentral.
AGAUUGAACGCUGGCGGCAUGCCUUACACAUGCAAGUCGAACGCGAAAGCGGGGCAACCCGCAAGUAGAGUGGCGAACGGGUGAGUAAUACAUCGGAACAUAUCCAGUAGCGGGGGAUAACCUGUCGAAAGAUAGGCUAAUACCGCAUACGAUCUACGGAUGAAGCGGGGACCGCAAGGCCUCGCACUAUUGGAGUGCCGAUGUCGAUUAGCUAGUUGGUAGGGUAAAGCCUACAAGGCAACGAUCUAGUACGCGUAGUCUGAGACGGAACCGACCACGCCAACACGUAGGAAC